This is a long non-coding RNA of Cuculus canorus (common cuckoo), 2188 nucleotides long. RefSeq lists it as uncharacterized. The record is from RefSeq and is a predicted model, not a curated record. Lineage: Eukaryota; Metazoa; Chordata; Aves; Cuculiformes; Cuculidae. The transcript is spliced from 4 exons.
AAACAGCUGCGACAGGCGAUGCUGUGAAUGGAACAAAAUGUUAUUUUAGAGGAUAGAAAGAAUAAAAACCAAUCUCUCCUACUUACUUCCUUCCACCAAAACUAACUCAAAAACCUUGUAAUUAUGUAUACAUUUUAGACAUUUGAAAAAGAAAAACCUAGUCAGAACCGUUUUAGUACUGCAGCACAGCAAAUGUCAUGAACAGGCAGAAAGCACCCCACGCUUUUGAGGAAAAAAUAUCUCUUCUCCAAAGGCAUGGGGUUUGCUCUGUAAGGGGCUGGGGCAACCUGCUCUUCUCCAAUUCCUCUGUGUGAUCUCGUUCUAAACUGCACUGCGGGGAAGUCAGUAAGGUUUACCCACCCGCUUUGACAUUUUUCUAGUCUUUUUUUUUACAUCUGAAGCUAUGGAGAGGUGGCUGAAGACAGGGUUUGUGCUGGAAGGAGCAAUCAGUGUCAAUGAAGACACCUCUGUAUGAGAGACUGCUACCCACAGGUACUGGGGAGUCAACAGCGCUAGCCCUGGAAAGCAACUUAUUGUUACUGGGCCUGAAUUUUGUGAUGAUGGAAUGCUCCAACUUUCAGAGAGAGGAGGAACCUCCACUGAAAAUGGUAUUUACAAAAUUUUCCAUCUGGGAAGUUUUUAAUCUAUUUAUAAGAGAGUCUUGAUUUUGUUCACUAAGAAUUUUAUGAGAGUAUUGCAUCCUAGAUCAAGUAGGUAAGGAAGGAAAUCUACCUCUAUCAGUUAAAAUCAUUAAGUAAAUUUAAUUAGAAAUGUACGUACCUUCGGCUGUUACCAUGGGCAGGUAAGAAGUAAGAGGAAGAAAAAGAGAAAUGUACAGUUUCAGUUGUAUGGUUAAACUGGAAGGAUUCUGACCCUGUUAAAACACAUUCUAAGAAAACAAAAUUAAGACUCUUUGAUAAUUCAGUCAUGUAUCCUCAGCAUUUUACAAUUCCAUUUCUUUCCAGUGACAUGGAUCAACAAACAGAAAUUCCCUGAAAGUAAGUCAAAAGCUGUUAUGUGGGCAGCAAAACUGUCAUUAAUGAAGUGUAUGACAAGAGCACUCUUAGUAACUGUUUUCUUGUUAUGCUAUUUUCACAUUGCAAGCUGUUCCAUAUGGGUUUUACUCUUUAGUGGUUUUCAAGGCAUUCUGCACUAUUCUGUUAAUACUGACUGGAUGAUCCAGUAAUGCUAUUUGUGAAUCAGACUCCAGGGUGCGUAAAAAUUAUUUUCUUUUCUUACACAGCAGCAACAUUUUGAGUAUUUGCUCCUAUUACUGCUCUACACCCUCUAUAUACAAAGAGGAUUUACUUGGAAAGAGGUUCAGAAAAGCACCUUUGUAUUAAAAGUGCCUGGAAAGGGAAAGCAAAGCACUGGAGACCACUCUGAGCGGAUGCCACUUCUGUCAGAUGUUUGGGUAGAUCUGUACCCCGAAACAUCCUACAGUGAGAACUGAAAGUGUAUUUUAGAAGAAAUAUUUAAAUAUUCAGUUAAAUCUCACAGUAGAAGACCUGAAAAUCUAGAAAUAAUGGAAAUGAGAAAGGACAUAGAAACUCUUCAGGCUCAUUAAGAGAGAGGAAAAAUAUCUGAGGACAACGCGUUGUGGAUGAUGAGUUCCACCAAUGUUAAUCAAGAGGGAUCCCAAGCUUCCCCCUGUUUGAUAGAAGCAUGUUUCUAGAUCUCUUCCCUGCAGACUGAAAUGACAACAGAACCCAAAGGAGACCAGAUUCCACUGAUCUGGAUCCCACCCUGAAGACCUCAAGCUGUUUCAUCACUACAAACUUGCCUGAUGACGCGGACUCUCGGCUGAAUUUGACCGCCAUCUCCGGCACUGCCUUGCUCAGCUCUCUACUCUGAAUGACACCUUUGGUAAGUGUUGGACACUCUAUGUCUUAGGAAUUCUAUCACCUCCAUACAUGAGAAAACUACUUGUUACUGGCUCAGUUCUUCUGUAAGAAAUAGUCCUAUCAGUACCCAGGUUUCCAACCACCACGGUGGGACAAGGCCUCCUGCUUUGGAUAGGGCACCAUGCUAAGAGCUACAUGGCUUCUGAACUGCCCGGAGAUGGCCUCCAACUUUGCUAGCUUGGAAUUCAGAGCUCAUUUGCACAGACAAGCCUUUUUCUCUGUUUUUCCCCACUCACUCCCAUCGCCAGCCACUAUAGCCCUUUGGCAACAUUAUUAUAACCGUA